AUGCAUGUCUAAGUACAGGCCUAAGCAAGGCGAAACCGCGAAUGGCUCAUUAAAUCAGUUAUGGUUCAUUGGAUCUUACCCUUUCUUACUUGGAUAACUGUGGUAAUUCUAGAGCUAAUACAUGCCAACCAGUAGCUCCGACACACUCCCGUGUGGAAGAGCGCUUUUAUUAGAUCAAAACCAGUCCUCUUUCGGGAGGUCAAACCCCUUUGUGGUGACUCUGAAUAACUUUUAGCUGAGCGUACGGUCUCCGUGCCGACGCCGCAUCUUUCAAGUGUCUGCCUUAUCAGCUUUCGAUUGUAGGUUAUGCGCCUACAAUGGCUAUAACGGGUAACGGGGAAUCAGGGUUCGAUUCCGGAGAGGGAGCCUGAGAAACGGCUACCACA
RNAcentral lists this ribosomal RNA (386 nucleotides) under Euphausia sp. USNM IZ 1448665. RNAcentral's name for it is "SSU rRNA". It matches the Rfam family "Eukaryotic small subunit ribosomal RNA", at positions 51 to 414 of the family's 1831-position model. Lineage: Eukaryota; Metazoa; Arthropoda; Malacostraca; Euphausiacea; Euphausiidae. RNAcentral also lists the same sequence under 2 other names. The record is from RNAcentral.